Mesocricetus auratus (golden hamster) is the source of this 120-nucleotide small nuclear RNA. Lineage: Eukaryota; Metazoa; Chordata; Mammalia; Rodentia; Cricetidae. The record is from Ensembl.
GUGUUUAUGAAAGGAGAGGUUAGCACGGCCCCUUGACAAGGAUGGAAAAGCUUCAGGUCUAGUAACAGGCACUGGUCAAGGCACUGCAGUCUAUUUUAUAGUGGUUAACUACUGUUUUUA